Molecule: ribosomal RNA, 388 nt
Filed under: uncultured bacterium
Lineage: Bacteria
Description: bacterial SSU rRNA
Rfam family: Bacterial small subunit ribosomal RNA
Source: RNAcentral
AUUGAACGCUGGCGGCAUGCCUUACACAUGCAAGUCGAGCGGCAGCGCGGGAGCAAUCCUGGCGGCGAGUGGCGAACGGGUGAGUAAUAUAUCGGAACGUGCCCAGUAGUGGGGGAUAGCCCGGCGAAAGCCGGAUUAAUACCGCAUACGACCUACGGGUGAAAGCGGGGGACCGUAAGGCCUCGCGCUAUUGGAGCGGCCGAUGUCAGAUUAGCUAGUUGGUGGGGUAAAGGCCUACCAAGGCGACGAUCUGUAGCUGGUCUGAGAGGACGACCAGCCACACUGGGACUGAGACACGGUCCAGACUCCUACGGGAGGCAGCAGUGGGGAAUAUUGGACAAUGGGCGCAAGCCUGAUCCAGCCAUGCCGCGUGGGUGAAGAAGGCCUC